RNAcentral lists this unclassified non-coding RNA (2571 nucleotides) under Dimorphilus gyrociliatus. RNAcentral's name for it is "dgyrCDS2871". Lineage: Eukaryota; Metazoa; Annelida; Polychaeta; Dinophilidae. The record is from RNAcentral.
AUAACACAAUUUAAUUCUGUUGUAUUGCAUAUAGCUGUGGAAAUAUUACUAGUAUUAUUAUUUAACUAUUUAUAUAUUUAUAUAUAUUGCAUUGAUAUAAAUCCAAUAUUAAUUAAAAUUACAUAAUCAAUUUAGUUAGGUAAAUAUUUAAUGUCGCAAAUUUUUCUUUUGCAACUAUAUUCUAAUUAUUAUCGGACUUUGUCCCAAAAUCAGGUAUGAUUUUAGUUAGACCAUACAAUAACAAGUAAGUAUUUUGUAGAACCUGGCGCCUUAGCAUACAAAUAUUUUUGUUCGCAAGUGAAUAUGUUAGGUUCAGUAUUCUAUAGUCUUUCUAUAAAAAUUCUUCACGCGCAUUUUUAUAGAUGAAUAGGUUUAAAAAAUUAUUUUAUAUAUACUAAUUUUUACCAUAAGCAGCCAUUUUACAGCUAUUUACACUUAAGGAGCACUAUCUUUAUCCUUUGAAAAUCUCUAUUGAUCAUUUGCAUCUAAAAUUAACAUCGCAAAGAAGUUUGUUGUUCUUUUAUGACAAUAUUAUUUUUAAAAUAUGACUUUUCCGUUGUAUAUUGUAUUAGUAGUUUUCUGUGACGUACAAAUAGGAGAUUUAAGUAUGAAAUAGAAUUAUAACAAAAGAAUUUAGAUAAUUUUCUGUAAUUACAGAAUAGAAAAAAGAUAAUACAAAUUUUUGAUUGAUUUUUCAGAUGGAUCGCCUAAUCAAUGACUUUGAUAUUAUGACUUGGAAAUAUACAAUUCUAUAUACGGGAGUUGCUGUAGGAUUCGGAUAUGCUUUGUAUAAAUGGUAUACAAAUAGUUUGAGAUUAAUACCAGGCCCAAGGGGUCUACCCAUUCUAGGCAUUACGCCGUAUAUGGACAUAAAACAUUUUCAUGUGCAAUUGAAUGAAUAUGCAAAAGAGUAUGGGCCCGUCUGUCGAAUUGACCUUCUGGGUGAAUCUGUAAUUUUGGUUACUGGUAAAGAUGCAAUUGAUGAAGUUCUGUCUACGAAACAAAAUGAUUUUUCAGACAGAUUGCAAACGUUUAGGACCAGUCUAGCUAUGAACGAAAACGAAGUAACAGGAUUUAUGAAUGAUACACCAGAAUUUAGAGAGAUAAAGAAACAGAUAUAUAAAUCAUUGAAAACCUAUGGUGAUGGUAUGAAUAAAGUUGAAAAUAUAAUGGAAGAAGUAUUAACUGAUUUGAUGAAAGAUAUUCGAAACGAGGAGAAAACUUCUGUCAAUUUUAGCCUUAAACUACAAUAUACUUUAACGACUGUUAUCACUUCGCUGAUUUUUGCACAAAGAGUUCAUGAAAAAGACAUAAUUAGAACCAUCGGUUUGGUCGAUAAAACUUCUAAAUCAUUUUUCAAUCUCUCCAGUAUUUUAUUAGAUGUUAUGCCCUGGUUAAGAUUUUUUGGAAACAAAGCUUAUCAAACAUUGAAAUCGUCUAGAAUGUCGAUUGACCAAACUUUCGACCCAACUAUUGAAGACCUCAAAAAUUCGAUUGACGAGAAUCGUAUUCGUAACUUUGUGGAUAGUUUCUAUCUUAAUUGUGAAAAGAGUUCACUGCAGCUCAGUCACUCUUUGCUGGCCAAUAAUGUCAAGGGAUUGAUAAUUGCAGGUUAUUUGACUUCUUCAUCGAUAUUAUAUACCUUAUUGUUAUUAUUAAUGAAACACCGAGAUAUUGAAGACAAGAUUGUUAGAGAGAUUAUAACCUACAUUGGUACAAACCGAUUACCUAAGAUGGAAGACCGAGAAAAAAUGCCGUAUACUGAAGCUUCUAUCUUAGAAGCCUUAAGAUAUAUAUCAAACGUCCCAAUUGCACUACCCCACGUCGCUAAGAAUACUUCUACCAUUUCGCAAUUCAAAAUAGAAAAAGGAACUCAGAUAUGGGUUAAUUUGUGGGGCUUACAUCAUUCAGAAGAAAUUUGGGGAGAUCCUUUUACUUUUAGGCCAGAAAGAUUCUUGGCUGAAGAUGGAAGUUUACUGCCUCUCGAUUCGAAACUGAGAAAAUGCUUAAUGGCUUUCGGAGCUGGUAGAAGAUUUUGUGUUGGAAAGAAUUUAGCUAUGCACAGAAUAUUUUUAAUUCUUACUGCCGUCUUGCAAAAUUUUCGCUUGGAAAUACCGAAUAAUACAGAACUAGUUGAUUUAGACUGUAGAAAAUUUGAAUUUGGCCUUGUUGUCGCAGCUUCGGCAAUGCCUUUGAAGUUUAUUCCAAGAAACCUUUAAAAUUGAAAACAGGAAAACUAUACACAAGUAUCUAAAAAUAUAAAUUAAAAGUAUAGUAUCAAUGAUUGUAGCCUGUGUUAUAUACAGUAGAACAAAUAAUUUAUGUUUUGAUGGUAACAUAUAAUGUAAACCUAAUUACCUUUCGUUUUAAUUGCUUAUUACAAACCUUAAAUUAUUCAUUUUAAGUCAUAUCUUACGUGAUUACGAUUGGAAUUAAAUUUCCUACUGCUUAAGUAGCUAUUUACUUUCGUAUACUGCUGAUGGCUUGUGACAACUUUUAACUGUAUAUUGUAAAUGUAUAUAUAUUUAAAAAUGGAUACUACUGAAUAAAUAUUAAAGAAAAUGAAUGGAG